RNAcentral lists this ribosomal RNA (253 nucleotides) under uncultured bacterium. RNAcentral's name for it is "partial 16S ribosomal RNA". It matches the Rfam family "Bacterial small subunit ribosomal RNA", at positions 524 to 776 of the family's 1533-position model. The record is from RNAcentral.
UACGGAGGAUCCAAGCGUCAUCCGGAUUUAUUGGGUUUAAAGGGUGCGUAGGCGGCCUAUUAAGUCAGGGGUGAAAGACGGUGGCUCAACCAUCGCAGUGCCUUUGAUACUGAUGGGCUUGAUUGCAGCUGAGGUAGGCGGAAUGUGACAAGUAGCGGUGAAAUGCAUAGAUAUGUCACAGAACACCGAUUGCGAAGGCAGCUUACUAAAGUGUAAAUGACGCUGAGGCACGAAAGCGUGGGGAUCAAACAGG